UCAUGGGUGGCACGAACCGAAUGGUACA
RNAcentral lists this small RNA (28 nucleotides) under Bombyx mori (domestic silkworm). RNAcentral describes it as "ovarian small RNA-26257". Lineage: Eukaryota; Metazoa; Arthropoda; Insecta; Lepidoptera; Bombycidae. The record is from RNAcentral.